This 253-nucleotide ribosomal RNA is filed under the name uncultured bacterium. RNAcentral's name for it is "partial 16S ribosomal RNA". It matches the Rfam family "Bacterial small subunit ribosomal RNA", at positions 524 to 776 of the family's 1533-position model. The record is from RNAcentral.
UACGGAGAGGGCAAGCGUUGUUCGGAUUUACUGGGCUUAAAGGGCACGUAGGCGGGAACACAAGUCGGUUGUGAAAGCCCGGAGCUCAACUCCGGAAGAGCUUCCGAUACUGUGUACCUUGAGAACGAGAGGGGAGAGUGGAACUUCUGGUGGAGCGGUGAAAUGCGUAGAUAUCAGAAGGAACACCGGUGGCGAAAGCGACUCUCUGGCUCGUCUCUGACGCUAAGGUGCGAAAGCUAGGGGAGCAAACGGG